GGACGAACCUCUGGUGUGCCAGUUGUUCUGCCAAGGGCAUGGCUGGUUGGCUACGUUCGGGAGGGAUAACCGCUGAAAGCAUCUAAGCGGGAAGCCUGCUUCGAGAUGAGGACUCCCACCCACUUGAUGGGGUAAGGCUCCCAGUAGACGACUGGGUUGAUAGGCCGGAUCUGGAAGCCAGGUAACUGGUGGAGGUGACCGGUACUAAUAGGCCGAGGGCUUGUCCUCAGUUG
RNAcentral lists this ribosomal RNA (233 nucleotides) under Streptomyces sp. SID685. RNAcentral describes it as "partial 23S ribosomal RNA". It matches the Rfam family "Bacterial large subunit ribosomal RNA", at positions 2699 to 2925 of the family's 2925-position model. The record is from RNAcentral. Lineage: Bacteria; Bacillati; Actinomycetota; Actinomycetes; Kitasatosporales; Streptomycetaceae.